AGAGCGAACGCUGGCGGCAGGCUUAACACAUGCAAGUCGAGCGGGCGUAGCAAUACGUCAGCGGCAGACGGGUGAGUAACGCGUGGGAACGUACCUUUUGGUUCGGAACAACACAGGGAAACUUGUGCUAAUACCGGAUAAGCCCUUACGGGGAAAGAUUUAUCGCCGAAAGAUCGGCCCGCGUCUGAUUAGCUAGUUGGUGAGGUAACGGCUCACCAAGGCGACGAUCGGUAGCUGGUCUGAGAGGAUGAUCAGCCACAUUGGGACUGAGACACGGCCCAAACUCCUACGGGAGGCAGCAGUGGGGAAUAUUGGACAAUGGGCGAAAGCCUGAUCCAGCCAUGCCGCGUGAGUGAUGAAGGCCCUAGGGUUGUAAAGCUCUUUGUGCGGGAAGAUAAUGACGGUACGCAAGAAUAAGCCCCGGCUAACUUCGCGCCAGCAGCCGC
RNAcentral lists this ribosomal RNA (446 nucleotides) under uncultured bacterium. RNAcentral's name for it is "SSU rRNA". It matches the Rfam family "Bacterial small subunit ribosomal RNA", at positions 26 to 518 of the family's 1533-position model. The record is from RNAcentral.